Molecule: ribosomal RNA, 253 nt
Filed under: uncultured bacterium
Lineage: Bacteria
Description: partial 16S ribosomal RNA
Rfam family: Bacterial small subunit ribosomal RNA
Source: RNAcentral
UACGUAGGGUGCGAGCGUUGUCCGGAAUUAUUGGGCGUAAAGAGCUUGUAGGCGGUUUGUCGCGUCUGCCGUGAAAAUCCGGGGCUCAACCCCGGACUUGCGGUGGGUACGGGCAGACUAGAGUGUGGUAGGGGAGACUGGAAUUCCUGGUGUAGCGGUGAAAUGCGCAGAUAUCAGGAGGAACACCGGUGGCGAAGGCGGGAUCCUGGGCCAGUACUGACGCUGAGGAGCGAAAGCGUGGGGAGCAAACAGG